This 205-nucleotide ribosomal RNA is filed under the name uncultured microorganism. RNAcentral describes it as "partial 16S ribosomal RNA". It matches the Rfam family "Bacterial small subunit ribosomal RNA", at positions 9 to 213 of the family's 1533-position model. The record is from RNAcentral.
GAGUUUGAUCUUGGCUCAGGACGAACGCUGGCGGCGUGCUUAACACAUGCAAGUCGAACGGUAAGGCUCCAGCUUGCUGGGGUACACGAGUGGCGAACGGGUGAGUAACACGUGGGUGACCUGCCCUGCACUUCGGGAUAAGCCUGGGAAACUGGGUCUAAUACCGGAUAGGACCGCACCGUGAGGGUGUGGUGGAAGUUUUUCG